UACGUAGGGCGCGAGCGUUGUCCGGAAUUAUUGGGCGUAAAGAGCUCGUAGGCGGCCUGUUGCGUCCGCUGUGAAAUCCCGGGGCUCAACCCCUGGGCGUGCAGUGGAUACGGGCAGGCUGGAGGCAGGCAGGGGAGAACGGAAUUCCCGGUGUAGCGGUGAAAUGCGCAGAUAUCGGGAGGAACACCGGUGGCGAAGGCGGUUCUCUGGGCCUGUGCUGACGCUGAGGAGCGAAAAGCGUGGGGAGCGAACAGG
This 255-nucleotide ribosomal RNA is filed under the name uncultured bacterium. RNAcentral's name for it is "partial 16S ribosomal RNA". It matches the Rfam family "Bacterial small subunit ribosomal RNA", at positions 524 to 776 of the family's 1533-position model. The record is from RNAcentral.